GCGUGAGUGACGAAGGCCUUAGGGUUGUAAAACUCUUUUGGUAGGGACGAUAAUGACGGUACCUACAGAAUAAGCCCCGGCUAACUUCGUGCCAGCAGCCGCGGUAAUACGAAGGGGGCUAGCGUUGUUCGGAAUCACUGGGCGUAAAGCGCACGUAGGCGGACUGGUCAGUUGGGGGUGAAAUCCCAGGGCUCAACCCUGGAACUGCCUCCAAUACUGCCAGUCUUGAGUCCGAGAGAGGUGAGUGGAAUUCCUAGUGUAGAGGUGAAAUUCGU
This 275-nucleotide ribosomal RNA is filed under the name uncultured bacterium. RNAcentral's name for it is "partial 16S ribosomal RNA". It matches the Rfam family "Bacterial small subunit ribosomal RNA", at positions 399 to 691 of the family's 1533-position model. The record is from RNAcentral.